CAUACGCCUCCCACAACAAAAUACCAAAUGGCCAACUCCCAACGGAGUACAAAAUGGAGACGCCGUGGACUGAUCACACCGCCACGGAAGGUGUCAUGCCUCGGUGCCAAGAGGACAUGCCUGUGGUACCCCCACAGGUGGUUAUAGCUCAGGUAUACCCUACGGUAUUCUAACAAGGAUACCAUGUCACAACACAUGCAACAUAAUAU
RNAcentral lists this long non-coding RNA (209 nucleotides) under Panax ginseng (ginseng). RNAcentral's name for it is "long non-coding RNA (PGIN_LNC005472)". Lineage: Eukaryota; Viridiplantae; Streptophyta; Magnoliopsida; Apiales; Araliaceae. The record is from RNAcentral.